Molecule: ribosomal RNA, 468 nt
Filed under: uncultured bacterium
Lineage: Bacteria
Description: partial 16S ribosomal RNA
Rfam family: Bacterial small subunit ribosomal RNA
Source: RNAcentral
GACGAACGCUGGCGGCGUGCUUAACACAUGCAAGUCGAACGGAAAGGCCCUGCUUUUGUGGGGUGCUCGAUUGGCGAACGGGUGAGUAACACGUGAGUAACCUGCCCUUGACUUUGGGAUAACUUCAGGAAACUGGGGCUAAUACCGGAUAGGAGCUCCUGCUGCAUGUUGGGGGUUGGAAAGUUUCGGCGGUUGGGGAUGGACUCGCGGCUUAUCAGCUUGUUGGUGGGGUAGUGGCUUACCAAGGCUUUGACGGGUAGCCGGCCUGAGAGGGUGACCGGCCACAUUGGGACUGAGAUACGGCCCAGAAUCCUACGGGCGGCAGCAGUGGGGAAUAUUGCACAAUGGGCGGAAGCCUGAUGCAGCAACGCCGCGUGCGGGAUGACGGCCUUCGGGUUGUAAACCGCUUUCGCCUGUGACGAAGCGUGAGUGACGGUAAUGGGUAAAGAAGCACCGGCUAACUACGUG